CAGCAGCCGCGGUAAUACGUAGGGUGCAAGCGUUAAUCGGAAUUACUGGGCGUAAAGCGUGCGCAGGCGGUUAUAUAAGUCAGAUGUGAAAUCCCCGGGCUCAACCUGGGAACUGCAUUUGAGACUGUAUGGCUAGAGUGUGUCAGAGGGGGGUAGAAUUCCACGUGUAGCAGUGAAAUGCGUAGAUAUGUGGAGGAAUAUCGGUGGCGAAGGUAGCCCCCUGGGAUAACACUGACGCUCAUGCACGAAAGCGUGGGGAGCGAACAGGAUUAGAUACCCGUGUAGUCCCUGUCUCUUAUAA
RNAcentral lists this ribosomal RNA (301 nucleotides) under uncultured bacterium. RNAcentral describes it as "partial 16S ribosomal RNA". It matches the Rfam family "Bacterial small subunit ribosomal RNA", at positions 509 to 809 of the family's 1533-position model. The record is from RNAcentral.